Molecule: ribosomal RNA, 505 nt
Filed under: uncultured bacterium
Lineage: Bacteria
Description: partial 16S ribosomal RNA
Rfam family: Bacterial small subunit ribosomal RNA
Source: RNAcentral
GACGAACGCUGGCGGCGUGCCUAAUACAUGCAAGUAGAACGCACAGUUUAUACCGUAGCUUGCUACACCAUAGACUGUGAGUUGCGAACGGGUGAGUAACGCGUAGGUAACCUGCCUGGUAGCGGGGGAUAACUAUUGGAAACGAUAGCUAAUACCGCAUAAUAUUGAUUAUUGCAUGAUAAUUGAUUGAAAGAUGCUAUUGCAUCACUACCAGAUGGACCUGCGUUGUAUUAGCUAGUAGGUGAGGUAACGGCUCACCUAGGCGACGAUACAUAGCCGACCUGAGAGGGUGAUCGGCCACACUGGGACUGAGACACGGCCCAGACGCCUACGGGAGGCAGCAGUAGGGAAUCUUCGGCAAUGGACGAAAGUCUGACCGAGCAACGCCGCGUGAGUGAAGAAGGUUGUCGGAUCGUAAAGCUCGGUUGUAAGAGAAGAACGGGUGUGAGAGUGGAAAGUUCACACUGUGACGGUAUCUUACCAGAAAGGGACGGCUAACUACGUG